This 923-nucleotide ribosomal RNA is filed under the name uncultured bacterium. RNAcentral's name for it is "bacterial SSU rRNA". It matches the Rfam family "Bacterial small subunit ribosomal RNA", at positions 8 to 946 of the family's 1533-position model. The record is from RNAcentral.
AGAGGUUGAUCCUGGGUCAGGACAAACGCUGGCGGCGUGCUUAACACAUGCAAGUCGAGCGAUGAAACACCUUCGGGUGUGAAUUAGCGGCGAACGGGUGAGGAACACGUGAGAAAUCUGCCUUCAACACUGGGAUAACUCCGGGAAACCGGGGCUAAUACCGGAUAUGAAAUCUGCGGGCAUCCGCGGAUUUGGAAAGUUUUUCGGUUGAAGAUGAUCUCGCGGCCUAUCAGCUUGUUGGUGAGGUAAUGGCUCACCAAGGCGACGACGGGUAGCCGGCCUGAGAGGGCGACCGGCCACACUGGGACUGAGACACGGCCCAGACUCCUACGGGAGGCAGCAGUGGGGAAUAUUGGGCAAUGGAGGAAACUCUGACCCAGCGACGCCGCGUGCGGGAUGAAGGCCUUCGGGUUGUAAACCGCUUUCAGCAGGGAAGAAGCGAAAGUGACGGUACCUGCAGAAGAAGCACCGGCUAACUAUGUGCCAGCAGCCGCGGUAAUACAUAGGGUGCAAGCGUUGUCCGGAAUUAUUGGGCGUAAAGAGCUCGUAGGUGGUUCGUCACGUCGGAUGUGAAAAUCUGGGGCUUAACCCCAGACCUGCAUUCGAUACGGGCGAGCUUGAGUAUGGUAGGGGAGUCUGGAAUUCCUGGUGUAGCGGUGGAAUGCGCAGAUAUCAGGAGGAACACCAAUGGCGAAGGCAGGACUCUGGGCCAUUACUGACACUGAGGAGCGAAAGCGUGGGGAGCGAACAGGAUUAGAUACCCUGGUAGUCCACGCCGUAAACGGUGGGCACUAGUUGUGGGGACCUUCCACGGUCUCUGCGACGCAGCUAACGCAUUAAGUGCCCCGCCUGGGGAGUACGAUCGCAAGAUUAAAACUCAAAGGAAUUGACGGGGCCCCGCACAAGCAGCGGAGCAUGCGGCU